UAACCCUCGUUCGUUCCGUGGUCGCUGGGUGGGGUUCCGCCGCCGACCGUCGGCUUCCAAAUCCGGUGGCGCAGCCGCCUCUGCCCCUACCGCCAUCAUGCUUGGCGAGUUCUCCACCACCCCCUCCGACGCCCCUUUCCCACCACUUACAUGUCCUGGCCGCGCGCCGUUGAACUCACGGUGGAUUGAAGAUCCUCAGCGACGUCGCCGUCGCUUGCCAAGGUCGUUACGAGGUUCCGAGAGCGGGACCUGGCGUCCAUCGCGACGCGCCACCCGUUCCAGCUCGGCAGUGGCGCAGGAGAUGUUAGGAUGCCGACGCGGUGGCUUUGGGAGGCGAAGUGGAAGGACACGAUUCGAGAUGUCGCCGGCCCGUGUUUUGGUGGUCAAAGGUUGCUGGCGCGUCGCCUUCUCCGGCGUCGGCCUUUCCCGGUGCUACUCGUGGCCCUGCAGCGUCACUUGGUGCAUUUGCUGCGGCGCGCCAUCCCGCCACCUAAUACCUGGGAUAGUGAGGCCCUAAAGCUGGACAAGAAGGCUCCUGGGCGCACCGGAGGAUGUCCCACUGGCAUAGGAGAACAAGGUCAGCAAAAAUGGCAGUGCAAAUGUGGAGGAAGAAGGUAAGGUAUACUUCGUAAGCAACUUUGUUCGGUUAUGAGGGUGGGGACUCCAUCAUGUCUUGGCCCCAUGACAAGUUUUUGAGGACUUCCAUGGACAGGACCCAUGACAAGGCUACUCAGGUGGAUGGUGAGAAAGUUGACAUGGAGCCUGAAAAUAUCAGGUUACAUUUGGAGGUAACAAGACAACGUGUUUUGAUAGUAGGUUCGGGAUGAAAAGAAGAUUGAACAACAAAUAAGUGAUGCCAAGCUUCAAGAUGAAGCAUUUCUAGCAUUUUAGGAUGGCGGUGAUAGAAGAGCUGGAAGCAAAAGUUAAAGAAAAUAAUAACAAAGAUGUUGCACAAGACAAGAUAAAGGAGCUCGAGGUUCUUAUGCAGAAGUCGAUCAGAUUUUUGGUGGUGAUCGUCAGUGUAGUCAUCGCCUUAGCUGCUGUAUUAACUAAUUUGUAUGUAGCUAGAGUAAUUAUUCCAACCGUACAGAUUCUUCAUUCAUGGAUCUUGGAAAUCAUUUGCUCAAUAUUAUUCAUGGAUCUUGUAAUUAA
Lolium perenne is the source of this 1152-nucleotide long non-coding RNA. RefSeq lists it as uncharacterized. Lineage: Eukaryota; Viridiplantae; Streptophyta; Magnoliopsida; Poales; Poaceae. The record is from RefSeq and is a predicted model, not a curated record.